AUUACAUAUAGAAACCCAGAACACUUUGGAGCCAGACAGCCUAGAAUUAAGCCUCUGGGUUCGAUGCUUACUGUUUAUGGGAUGUAUGGUGAAACACUGAAACCGUCCAAGCUUUAGUCUCUUUCUUUAUGAUACAGGGACAACUCAAGCGCUCUGCUAAGGUGUGAUGAGGAUUAAAAAGAUGACGCAUGGACAGUAAUCCAUAACAGCAAAGCACUAGGCAGCUAUAAAGUGGAUUAAGAGAUUUAUAAAACACGUUCACACACCAUUCUUUUUGUUGCACACUUUUCAAUGGCUCCACAUUGCCUGCCAAGUAAACGCACAUUCCUUGGUCUAGCAUAAAACAUUCUCCUGGGCGAGCUCCAUCUGCCACUAUAUCACCCCCGCAGCUUUGUCCAACUUCGGACAAAGCCAAUUGUUGUAGUGAAGGAACGCUGGCCUCUCUGCUGCUCCAAAUGGGACAUGGUGGUGUGGCUCAAUUCUGACGCCAGACCCUUCUUCCUGUGCUCCCUUCCUUGGUUCAUUGUUCUGGCUUUCCAAAUCCCACCCAUUCUUCACCAUCUUCAAAUAUAUCCCCCACCUUGCUGUCUUGGUCCCUGAGCUCUAACUCUGCUCCUCCUUCUGAAUUUUGCUCACAUCUUUUUUUUUUUUUUUUUUAAGACAAUUAAAAAUGCCACUUGGGAUUCUAGUAACAUUUGGCGCAUGGAAAUUUACAAAUAAUUUACUGAACAUAACUGUUUGAGAGAGUUAAAAAAUCUCCAAGUGAUUUAGUAGAAGUUCUAUGGACAGACAGAGUGCCCCUCAGUUUUAACCUAGCCACUUCUAGAAACCUAGGCAAGAACGUGAAAGAAACCCAGAGCGCAUCACUUUUUGUACCAUUGAAUAAAUCACUGAGGAAGAACACAGCUUAUUUGUAGAUUAGUUUUAUUUAAAAAAAAAAAAAAGAGGGGAGGGAAACAAGGAAGAAUUAUUAAUGCUGUGUCUUCAAUACUACUCAUUAGCAAAGGUCCCUCUCCCUUUAGUAAUGGGUAGCCUAAUAUUUUCUUAUUUGGGUCAUGUCAACAAGUCCACCAAUGUCCUCCUCUCUUAAAGAGUUAGCAUCUAGAAGGAUGAUAUGAGAAGAAACAUUGAGUAAAAUAUAGCCAGUUGAGAACAGUGGCCAGCAUGAAUUGUGAGAGUUUAAAGGAAGGGACUUCAAUUCAACCUAGAAUGCUUAGAAAAUCAUGAAGAGAUGGCUUCAGGCCAAAUCUCAAAAAGAUAACUAUGCACUGGCCAGGUGGACAAGGGUGGGAAAGCCACUGCAGGUGGGUGCAAAAGCUGGGGCCUAGACAACUACAGCAUCUUUUAGCAAUAAGGCUGGAGACAUCAAGCUUGAAGAAAGAAGUCUUUCAAAGCACUUGCCUAUCUGCUCUGUCAGUUUUAUGCUUACCAAGUGAUCUUAUGAAUAUGAUUUGGAGACGAGAUGACUAGGAAGGUAUUAAAAGCCUUUCAUAAAAUGAUUUUUUUCUACAUAUAUUAAUGCAUUAGCCUCUGACUUGUCAUUAGAUUCUUAUGCUUAGAACUAGUUUUAAGUUGAAGGAACCCAGAACAUUUUGAUAAAAGUCAUGUUUCUGGACCUGAAAAUCUGCAGAGAUGCUGCAUUUUAAAUAUCAACCAAACACCGCCACACUGGAGAUCAGGAGGGUUGCCCUCUUAGAUGUCUCAAAUCCACUUAUCUCUCUCCACCACCAAUACUGCUCCACAGUGCUAGCCACCACCAUCCCUUGCAAAGCAGCUGCAAUUAAAAAGUGAAGACAUGUUAGUUUGUACCAAUUGCUAGAACCAAAUAUUUGAACUGGGUAUUAGACUUUUAUCUCUCCCAAUUUAGGAAACUGAAGCCCAAGAUCAAUGUCCCAGCUAGUUUACUGUCUAGGAAGAGCUAUUCUCUGCUUUAAUAUAACAUCUUAUAGCAACGAAGUCCUCUUCAAGGGUCGACAAAAGUGUCCUCCCCGGGGAAGCAGGAACAGAAGACCUAGGUUCCUUCAGCCCUUUAGUGAAGUCACCAAUCCUAUUCAGGAGGGCUUUACAUAUAUAACAUAUUUAAGUCCGAAAUGUCCUAGCUCUCAGUUCUACUGCACGUAAUUAAGAUUCAUCAGGUAAACAGAUGCUAUUGUUCUUAUUGUGUAGGAGAGGAAACCAAAUGGGCAUACAGAGCUCAAGAAAUUUCUCUAAGGUUAAUUGUAAGAGAGGAGUCUAGACCAUAGCUCCAAGGACCAAGUUAUAAACCAUUACCAAUGAUUAAGUUCCUUUUAUUUCUCCCAAUUUAGGAGGCUGAAACCCAAGAUCAAUGUUCCAGCUAGUUUAUUGUCCUUUAACUUCAGAAGUACAUGUUUGUUUGUGUGUUUGUUGAUUGGACAAAUACAAAUGUUCAUUAGCAAUCAAAUGCCCCAGUCAGACUCACCCCAAGAGCAGAUUUGUCAGUUAGGAUAGUGGCUGUAAAGGGGGUGGGAAAAGAACCAAGGAGGGCAGAGCUACCAACUGGCAUAGCAGGGACCUAGCUUUUCUUUCUCUGUGUGCCUCCAAGGAACUUUGAUGGUGACCCUGUGUUUAUAACAGGGCUUGUGGCUUAUUAAAAAUAAAAUCACAGACCUUUGAGGUAAAGAACUGAAGUUCACGUUCUCCAUCUCCUCCCUCUACCCCUCCUUCCCCCACACCACCCCGCUCCCGUCUCAAUGCUUGGAGUGAACUGUGGGACAAGCCUCAGUCCUCUCAUGUGCAUCACGGAAACUACACAUCAUCAUUGUUAUUCUGUCCCAUGGGGUUUAUUUUUCAAGGAAAAAAUGAGGCAUGCAAGAGAAAGUGGCUGGUAAACUGUCAAGUUCUAUACACAAAAGCUAGUUGCAAUUGGAGAUUUGUAACUUGGCAUCUCGAGGAGUUGCUAAAGACGGCGGCAUCAAAAUGACCUACUUUCUACUGUUAUUUCCCUUGAGGGCUGUGAAGCUCUCCAGCGAAUCCACCCAGGGUGAAGUCCCUGUCAUAAGCAAUUGCAAUAUUCCAUAUUUAUAAAGACACAUGAACCAGGUCCAGCCUACAGAAAGCCCACCUAGGGCUUAUAAACUGUGCCUUUGGAAGAGUUGCCUUGCAGAGCAUGUAAACGUUCUCUUGUGGCUGCACUUUGUUCUAGGAGUAUUCUACUUAAGGUUCAAAACACAUGCUUUUCUGAGAUGUUGCAUACCAACAUGAGUACGUUUCAUUAACUAUUCUUCAAAAUUAAAUGCACAGCUUUGAGCACCACAGCUUG
RNAcentral lists this long non-coding RNA (3280 nucleotides) under Mus musculus (house mouse). Its description in RNAcentral is "long non-coding RNA chr4:102560711-102563991". Lineage: Eukaryota; Metazoa; Chordata; Mammalia; Rodentia; Muridae. The record is from RNAcentral.